GUAGGUGAACCUGCGGAAGGAUCAUUAUCGAGUUCAUGCCCUCCGGGGUAGACCUCCCACCCUGUUUAUCUUACCUUCUGUUGCUUUGGCGGGCCGACUGUCUAGGCCACCGGCGACUUGUUGGUGUGUGCCCGCCAAAGGCCCUAAAACCCUGUUAUUAAACGUGCCGUCUGAGUACUAUAUAAUAGUUAAAACUUUCAACGACGGAUCUCUUGGUUCUGGCAUCGAUGAAGAACGCAGCAUCUGACUG
RNAcentral lists this unclassified non-coding RNA (250 nucleotides) under plant metagenome. RNAcentral describes it as "partial contains small subunit ribosomal RNA, internal transcribed spacer 1, and 5.8S ribosomal RNA". The stretch from base 193 to 250 matches the Rfam family "5.8S ribosomal RNA", at positions 1 to 55 of the family's 154-position model. The record is from RNAcentral.